RNAcentral lists this transfer RNA (72 nucleotides) under Ictidomys tridecemlineatus (thirteen-lined ground squirrel). RNAcentral describes it as "Spermophilus tridecemlineatus (thirteen-lined ground squirrel) tRNA". It matches the Rfam family "tRNA". Rfam says of the family: Transfer RNA (tRNA) molecules are approximately 80 nucleotides in length. Their secondary structure includes four short double-helical elements and three loops (D, anti-codon, and T loops). Lineage: Eukaryota; Metazoa; Chordata; Mammalia; Rodentia; Sciuridae. The record is from Rfam by way of RNAcentral. RNAcentral also lists the same sequence under 1 other name.
UGAGGUGUAGCUCAGUGGUAGAGUGCAUGCUUAGCAUGCACAAACCCCUGGGUUUGAUCCACAGCACCACCA